GCAAGUCGAACGCUUUGUCUUUAACUGAUCUGACGAGCUUGCUCUGAUUUGAUUUUAUCUGACAAAGAGUGGCGAACGGGUGAGUAACACGUGGGUAACCUACCUCUUAGCAGGGGAUAACAUUUGGAAACAAGUGCUAAUACCGUAUAAUACCAACAACCGCAUGGUUGUUGGUUGAAAGAUGGUUCUGCUAUCACUAAGAGAUGGACCCGCGGUGCAUUAGCUAGUUGGUAAGGUAACGGCUUACCAAGGCAAUGAUGCAUAGCCGAGUUGAGAGACUGAUCGGCCACAAUGGGACUGAGACACGGCCCAUACUCCUACGGGAGGCAGCAGUAGGGAAUCUUCCACAAUGGGCGCAAGCCUGAUGGAGCAACGCCGCGUGUGUGAUGAAGGGUUUCGGCUCGUAAAACACUGUUAUAAGAGAAGAACGGCACUGAGAGUAACUGUUCAGUGUGUGACGGUAUCUUACCAGAAAGGAACGGCUAAAUACGUGCCAGCAGCCGCGGUAAUACGUAUGUUCCAAGCGUUAUCCGGAUUUAUUGGGCGUAAAGCGAGCGCAGACGGUUAUUUAAGUCUGAAGUGAAAGCCCUCAGCUCAACUGAGGAAUGGCUUUGGAAACUGGAUGACUUGAGUG
This 634-nucleotide ribosomal RNA is filed under the name Weissella paramesenteroides. Its description in RNAcentral is "bacterial SSU rRNA". It matches the Rfam family "Bacterial small subunit ribosomal RNA", at positions 57 to 648 of the family's 1533-position model. Lineage: Bacteria; Bacillati; Bacillota; Bacilli; Lactobacillales; Lactobacillaceae. The record is from RNAcentral.